Molecule: RNA transcript, 1951 nt
Organism: Gossypium arboreum
Lineage: Eukaryota; Viridiplantae; Streptophyta; Magnoliopsida; Malvales; Malvaceae
Gene name: L-cysteine desulfhydrase
Exons: 3
Source: RefSeq, a predicted model, not a curated record
CAUCGUUAUCUAUUCGAUUAUCAUCGGUCCCAGUCUUGCCCUGGAAACGAAUACGGUAACCUUUUAUUGGAAAAAAAAUACCAAAUAAAACCAAGAAAAGGGCACUACCACUGUUUGGUAGCUGUCGACUGUCCAGUUCUUAAAAUCAUGCCCAUUUUCACGACAAAACCCUAAUUUCCUUUUAUUUGCUUCCAUUUGCUCCUUAUCUCUGCCGAUGCAGCACGAUGACCCUAGAAACGGUGAGUCGACUCACCGCAGCUCCAAGAAACCCAAAAUUUCAUCUCAGUUCAUUACCGAGUCGGAUAUCCGAGACGAAUUCUCUCACCACCACCCACGUGUCGCACGCAUCAACAACGGGAGUUUCGGUAGCUGUCCCGGUUCGGUUCUUGCUGCCCAACGCCAUUGGCAGCUACAGUUCCUCCGUCAACCUGAUGCCUUUUACUUUAAUUCCCUUCGUGACGGAAUAACGGCUUCGCGGAAAAUUAUAAAGGACCUCAUCAACGCUGACCACGUCGACGAGGUCUCCCUCGUCGAUAACGCCACAACCGCUGCGGCCAUCGUGCUCCAACGGAUCGGCCGCAGUUUCGCCGAAGGGAAGUUCCAGAAAAAUGACACUGUUUUGAUGCUCCACUGCGCGUAUGAAGCCGUCAAAAAAUCAAUCCAAGCGUACGUCACCCGGGCCGGCGGCUCCGUCAUUGAGGUACGGCUACCAUUCCCGGUAAAUUCAGAGGUAGAAAUCAUAUCCGAACUCAAAAAAUCGAUCGACGAAGGAAAAUCCAACGGUAGAAGGAUAAGGUUAGCGAUUAUCGAUCAUAUUACAUCAAUGCCAUCGGUUGUUAUUCCGGUAAAAGAGUUAGUUAGGAUUUGUAGAGCGGAAGGAAUAGAGCAGGUGUUCGUAGACGCGGCUCACGCUAUUGGGAGUGUGAAAGUGGAUGUUAAAGAAGUUGGAGCUGAUUUUUAUGUUAGCAAUUUACAUAAAUGGUUCUUUUGCCCGCCUUCUGUAGCAUUUUUAUACUGUAAUAAAUCGACUACAUCAUCUGAUUUGCAUCACCCUGUUGUUUCACAUGAGUAUGGAAAUGGGUUGCCUAUCGAAAGCGCCUGGACUGGGACUAGGGAUUAUAGUUCUCAGUUAGUUGUUCCUGCAGUUUUGGAGUUUGUUAACAGGUUCGAAGGAGGGAUUGAGGGGAUAAUGAAGAGGAACCAUGAUCAAGUGGUGAAGAUGGGGAAGAUGUUGGCGGAAUCAUGGGGGACAAAUUUAGGGUCUCCCCCGGAGAUGUCUGCUGCAAUGAUUAUGGUUGGUUUGCCGUCGAGGUUGUGCCUUAAUAGUGAGAAGGAUGCUUUGAAGUUGAGGUCACAUUUGCGGGAUUGUUAUGAGGUUGAAGUUCCAAUCUUUCAUCAGGUUCCAAAGGAUGGGGAAGAGGGUGUUAGAGAUAAGGAUGGAUUUAUUACGGGAUAUGUGAGAAUUUCUCAUCAAGUUUAUAAUACAUUGGAGGAUUAUGAGAAGUUAAGGGAUGCUAUUAAUCAGUUAGUCGAGGAUGGGAAGACUUGCAAAAUGCUUUUUAAGGAAUGAAGAGGGAACCUAUAUUCACAGGAGGUGGAAAGGAGAGGCAAAAAGGGGGCUUGGGACAGUUGAUUUCAUGCUAGAUAUAACUUAAUGCAGUCAUAAAGGUUGGAGCAGCUUUCCAUGGAAUAACGUACGUGCUUUGCCAGUUUUCUGAUGCUUGCGACAUCACACAGUUUUUAAAGAACCAAAAAUGAUUGGGAAAGAGAAGGUAGAAGAAGUAGCUAUUAUGUGUGCCUCUUGGAACCGCGAAAGCGUUUUGGAAUAACUUUUUGCCAAUGUAGUCUGACAGGUGCCUAGGGCUUUGUAUCAAUCCCUUGUAGUUCGGCAAUAAUAAAUGUAUGAAUGAAUCCAGCAUUUUUUAGCAGUUAAACCUGCUUUCAGCUGAAA